AUACGGAGGGUGCGAGCGUUAAUCGGAAUUACUGGGCGUAAAGCGUACGUAGGCGGUUGGUUAAGUUAGAUGUGAAAGCCCCGGGCUUAACCUGGGAACUGCAUUCAAAACUGGCUGACUAGAGUAUGGUAGAGGGAAGGGGAAUUCCAGGUGUAGCGGUGAAAUGCGUAGAUAUCUGGAGGAACAUCAGUGGCGAAGGCGCCUUCCUGGACUAAUACUGACACUGAGGUGCGAAAGCGUGGGUAGCAAACAGGAUUAGAAACCCUUGUAGUCC
This 274-nucleotide ribosomal RNA is filed under the name uncultured bacterium. RNAcentral describes it as "partial 16S ribosomal RNA". It matches the Rfam family "Bacterial small subunit ribosomal RNA", at positions 523 to 796 of the family's 1533-position model. The record is from RNAcentral.